CCUACGGGAGGCAGCAGUGGGGAAUAUUGCGCAAUGGGCGAAAGCCUGACGCAGCGACGCCGCGUGAGGGAUGAAGGUCUUCGGAUCGUAAACCUCUGUCAGCAGGGAAGAACGGUCACUGUGCUAAUCAGCAGUGAAUUGACGGUACCUGCAAAGGAAGCAUCGGCUAACUCCGUGCCAGCAGCCGCGGUAAUACGGAGGAUGCGAGCGUUAUCCGGAUUUAUUGGGUUUAAAGGGUGCGUAGGCGGAACAUUAAGUCAGCGGUAAAAUCGAGGGGCUCAACCCCUUUAAGCCGUUGAAACUGGUGAUCUUGAGUGGGCGAGAAGUAUGCGGAAUGCGUGGUGUAGCGGUGAAAUGCAUAGAUAUCACGCAGAACUCCGAUUGCGAAGGCAGCAUACCGGCGCCCGACUGACGCUGAGGCACGAAAGCGUGGGGAUCGAACAGGAUUAGAUACCCUUGUAGUC
Molecule: ribosomal RNA, 464 nt
Filed under: uncultured bacterium
Lineage: Bacteria
Description: partial 16S ribosomal RNA
Rfam family: Bacterial small subunit ribosomal RNA
Source: RNAcentral